This 568-nucleotide ribosomal RNA is filed under the name uncultured bacterium. RNAcentral's name for it is "bacterial SSU rRNA". It matches the Rfam family "Bacterial small subunit ribosomal RNA", at positions 338 to 916 of the family's 1533-position model. The record is from RNAcentral.
CCUACGGGAGGCAGCAGUGGGGAAUAUUGCGCAAUGGGCGAAAGCCUGACGCAGCGACGCAGCGUGAGGGACGAAGGCCUUCGGGUUGUAAACCUCUUUCAGCGGGGACGAAGCGAAAGUGACGGUACCCGCAGAAGAAGCACCGGCUAACUACGUGCCAGCAGCCGCGGUAAUACGUAGGGUGCAAGCAUUGUCCGGAUUUAUUGGGCGUAAAGAGCUCGUAGGCGGCUUGUCACGUCGGAUGUGAAAACUCGGGGCUCAACCCCGAGCCUGCAUUCGAUACGGGCUAGCUAGAGUGUUGCAGGGGAGACUGGAAUUCCUGGUGUAGCGGUGAAAUGCGCAGAUAUCAGGAGGAACACCGGUGGCGAAGGCGGGUCUCUGGGCAACUACUGACGCCGAGGAGCGAAAGCGUGGGGAGCGAACAGGAUUAGAUACCCUGGUAGUCCACGCCGUAAACGGUGGGCGCUAGGUGUGGGGAACCUUCCACGUUCUCUGUGCCGUAGCUAACGCAUUAAGCGCCCCGCCUGGGGAGUACGGCCGCAAGGCUAAAACUCAAAGGAAUUGACGG